This is a non-coding RNA of Podarcis lilfordi (Lilford's wall lizard), 73 nucleotides long. The record is from the annotation of a GenBank genome assembly. NCBI's taxonomy places the organism in Eukaryota, Metazoa, Chordata, Lepidosauria, Squamata, Lacertidae.
GGGUGAAUAGCUCAGUUGGUAGAGCAUGAGACUUUUAAUCUCAAGGUUGUGGGUUCAAGCCCCAUGUUGGGCA